UUAAGCGACUAAGCGUACACGGUGGAUGCCCUGGCAGUCAGAGGCGAUGAAGGACGUGCUAAUCUGCGAAAAGCGUCGGUAAGGUGAUAUGAACCGUUAUAGCCGGCGAUGUCCGAAUGGGGAAACCCAGUGCAAUUCGUUGCACUAUCGUUUGAUGAAUACAUAGUCAAACGAGGCGAACCGGGGGAACUGAAACAUCUAAGUACCCCGAGGAAAAGAAAUCAACCGAGAUUCCCCCAGUAGCGGCGAGCGAACGGGGAGCAGCCCGGAGUCUGAAUCAGCUUGUGUGUUAGUGGAAGCGUCUGGAAAGUCGCAGGGUACAGGGUGAUACUCCCGUACACUAAAAUGCACAGGUUGUGAACUCGAAGAGUAGGGCGGGACACGUGGUAUCCUGUCUGAAUAUGGGGGGACCAUCCUCCAAGGCUAAAUACUCCUGACUGACCGAUAGUGAACCAGUACCGUGAGGGAAAGGCGAAAAGAACCCCGGCGAGGGGAGUGAAAAAGAACCUGAAACCGUGUACGUACAAGCAGUAGGAGCCCACUUGUUGGGUGACUGCGUACCUUUUGUAUAAUGGGUCAGCGACUUAUAUUCUGUAGCAAGGUUAACCGUAUAGGGGAGCCGCAGGGAAACCGAGUCUUAACUGGGCGUUAAGUUGCAGGGUAUAGACCCGAAACCCGGUGAUCUAGCCAUGGGCAGGUUGAAGGUUGGGUAACACUAACUGGAGGACCGAACCGACUAAUGUUGAAAAAUUAGCGGAUGACUUGUGGCUGGGGGUGAAAGGCCAAUCAAACCGGGAGAUAGCUGGUUCUCCCCGAAAGCUAUUUAGGUAGCGCCUCGUGAAUUCAUCUUCGGGGGUAGAGCACUGUUUCGGCUAGGGGGUCAUCCCGACUUACCAACCCGAUGCAAACUACGAAUACCGAAGAAUGUUAUCACGGGAGACACACGGCGGGUGCUAACGUCCGUCGUGAAGAGGGAAACAACCCAGACCGCCAGCUAAGGUCCCAAAGUCAUGGUUAAGUGGGAAACGAUGUGGGAAGGCCCAGACAGCCAGGAUGUUGGCUUAGAAGCAGCCAUCAUUUAAAGAAAGCGUAAUAGCUCACUGGUCGAGUCGGCCUGCGCGGAAGAUGUAACGGGGCUAAACCAUGCACCGAAGCUGCGGCAGCGACGCUUAUGCGUUGUUGGGUAGGGGAGCGUUCUGUAAGCCGUUGAAGGUGGCCUGUGAGGGUUGCUGGAGGUAUCAGAAGUGCGAAUGCUGACAUAAGUAACGAUAAUGCGGGUGAAAAACCCGCACGCCGGAAGACCAAGGGUUCCUGUCCAACGUUAAUCGGGGCAGGGUGAGUCGACCCCUAAGGCGAGGCCGAAAGGCGUAGUCGAUGGGAAACAGGUUAAUAUUCCUGUACUCGGUGUUACUGCGAAGGGGGGACGGAGAAGGCUAUGUUGGCCGGGCGACGGUUGUCCCGGUUUAAGCAUGUAGGCGGAUGUUCCAGGUAAAUCCGGAACGUUAUUAACGCUGAGGUGUGAUGACGAGGCACUACGGUGCUGAAGUGACAAAUGCCCUGCUUCCAGGAAAAGCCUCUAAGCAUCAGGUAACAUCAAAUCGUACCCCAAACCGACACAGGUGGUCAGGUAGAGAAUACCAAGGCGCUUGAGAGAACUCGGGUGAAGGAACUAGGCAAAAUGGUGCCGUAACUUCGGGAGAAGGCACGCUGAUGGUAAGUGAAGUGACUUGCUCAUGGAGCUGAAAUCAGUCGAAGAUACCAGCUGGCUGCAACUGUUUAUUAAAAACACAGCACUGUGCAAACACGAAAGUGGACGUAUACGGUGUGACGCCUGCCCGGUGCCGGAAGGUUAAUUGAUGGGGUUAUCCGUAAGGAGAAGCUCUUGAUCGAAGCCCCGGUAAACGGCGGCCGUAACUAUAACGGUCCUAAGGUAGCGAAAUUCCUUGUCGGGUAAGUUCCGACCUGCACGAAUGGCGUAAUGAUGGCCAGGCUGUCUCCACCCGAGACUCAGUGAAAUUGAACUCGCUGUGAAGAUGCAGUGUACCCGCGGCAAGACGGAAAGACCCCGUGAACCUUUACUAUAGCUUGACACUGAACACUGGUCCUUGAUGUGUAGGAUAGGUGGGAGGCUUUGAAGUGUGGACGCCAGUCUGCAUGGAGCCAUCCUUGAAAUACCACCCUUUAAUGGCUGGUGUUCUAACGUGGGCCCCUAAUCGGGGUUGCGGACAGUGUCUGGUGGGUAGUUUGACUGGGGCGGUCUCCUCCUAAAGAGUAACGGAGGAGCACGAAGGUCAGCUAAUCCUGGUCGGACAUCAGGAGGUUAGUGCAAUGGCAUAAGCUGGCUUGACUGCGAGCGUGACGGCGCGAGCAGGUGCGAAAGCAGGUCAUAGUGAUCCGGUGGUUCUGAAUGGAAGGGCCAUCGCUCAACGGAUAAAAGGUACUCCGGGGAUAACAGGCUGAUACCGCCCAAGAGUUCAUAUCGACGGCGGUGUUUGGCACCUCGAUGUCGGCUCAUCACAUCCUGGGGCUGAAGUAGGUCCAAGGGUAUGGCUGUUCGCCAUUUAAAGUGGUACGCGAGCUGGGUUUAGAACGUCGUGAGACAGUUCGGUCCCUAUCUGCCGUGGGCGCUGGAGAAUUGAGGGGGCUGCUCCUAGUACGAGAGGACCGGAGUGGACGCAUCACUGGUGUUCGGGUUGUCAUGCCAAUGGCAUUGCCCGGUAGCUAAAUGCGGAAGAGAUAAGUGCUGAAAGCAUCUAAGCACGAAACUUGCCCCGAGAUGAGUUCUCCCUGACUCCUUGAGAGUCCUGAAGGAACGUUGAAGACGACGACGUUGAUAGGCCGGGUGUGUAAGCGCAGCGAUGCGUUGAGCUAACCGGUACUAAUGAACCGUGAGGCUUAACCUU
This 2903-nucleotide ribosomal RNA is filed under the name Klebsiella oxytoca. Its description in RNAcentral is "bacterial LSU rRNA". It matches the Rfam family "Bacterial large subunit ribosomal RNA". Lineage: Bacteria; Pseudomonadati; Pseudomonadota; Gammaproteobacteria; Enterobacterales; Enterobacteriaceae. RNAcentral also lists the same sequence under 1 other name. The record is from RNAcentral.